Molecule: long non-coding RNA, 999 nt
Organism: Pseudophryne corroboree (corroboree frog)
Lineage: Eukaryota; Metazoa; Chordata; Amphibia; Anura; Myobatrachidae
Exons: 3
Source: RefSeq, a predicted model, not a curated record
UUACCAGACAGCAGUGUUGCAGGGCUUCCUAGAUGGCUGGAGCAGCCCCAAGCAUCAGCCAGCAGGGAAGGCGCAGCAAAUAGCACCAGCACUUGGACGUGUGGUGCCUAAAUGCUGCACAGGGAGCACCACACGUCAGUGACACUGCCUGCUGGUGGUCAGGUACAGUGCACGGAUCUCCCGCUGUCAAGGCCUCCGCCGCCCGCCUGCUUCCGUCCGGGAGAGAGAGGACACUGCCGUGUCCGCCCGGAGUCCCGGCUGUGAGCUCCGAAGCCAUGCUGAUUGAAGGGGAGCAGGGGAUGCUGCAGAGAUGUCCAGGGACAAGCGGCCCGAUCCCCCCCUUCCCUCAGAAGAAUUUUCCCUGCACAGCAAUGAGGAGUGGGAGCCGACCCAGGAGGAGGAUACGACCGACCAGGCAUGCAGUGACCAGCCGCGGUCGUCAAGGGACCAAAGGGAGAAGCAAAAGAAAAAGAAAAGGCCUAGACAGGAAAGAAGCCAGCCAGAGGAUCAGUCGGAGGAGAAAGCCUCUGGUGAAGACGCAGGACAGAAGAAGCCGCGUGGACCCAGAUACACUGAGGCGGAAAACUGUGCCCUAGUGAAUGGCGUCGACAGGUCCUACGACGUUCUGUAUGGACCAAGGGCACAGAGCACAGCAGCUAAGACCAAGCGAAACAUCUGGGAUGCCAUCGCGAGACAAGUCACUGCAGUAUCUGGAAACCGCCGGAGCACCAGAAACUGCAUGAAGCGGUACAGUGAUUGCCGCAGACAGACCAAGAAGAUGGGGAUUCAGUGCCGACAUGAGACAGCUACGGGAGGUGGUCCGGCUCUCAAUCUGAAGUGGCUACCCUGGGAGAACGUUAUUUAGAAGGCGCAUGAACCCUGUUAUAGUCCAAGGAGUUCGCGGAGGUGUGGACUCCAGCCGUCCUGCUGGCUUUCCCGAGGAGGAAGAACCGCCCAGAAGACGGAAGACGGCGGGAGACAAGCAGUCCAAAAGGAGGC